GACGAGCGCUGGCGGCGUGCCUAAUACAUGCAAGUCGAGCGGACCGGAUUGGGGCUUGCCUUGAUUCGGUCAGCGGCGGACGGGUGAGUAACACGUGGGCAACCUGCCCGCAAGACCGGGAUAACUCCGGGAAACCGGAGCUAAUACCGGAUAACACCGAAGACCGCAUGGUCUUCGGUUGAAAGGCGGCCUUUGGGCUGUCACUUGCGGAUGGGCCCGCGGCGCAUUAGCUAGUUGGUGAGGUAACGGCUCACCAAGGCGACGAUGCGUAGCCGGCCUGAGAGGGUGACCGGCCACACUGGGACUGAGACACGGCCCAGACUCCUACGGGAGGCAGCAGUAGGGAAUCUUCCGCAAUGGGCGAAAGCCUGACGGAGCGACGCCGCGUGAGCGAAGAAGGCCUUCGGGUCGUAAAGCUCUGUUGUGAGGGACGAAGGAGCGUCGUUCGAAGAGGGCGGCGCGGUGACGGUACCUCACGAGAAAGCCCCGGCUAACUACGUG
RNAcentral lists this ribosomal RNA (501 nucleotides) under uncultured bacterium. RNAcentral's name for it is "partial 16S ribosomal RNA". It matches the Rfam family "Bacterial small subunit ribosomal RNA", at positions 28 to 507 of the family's 1533-position model. The record is from RNAcentral.